CCUACGGGAGGCAGCAGUCGGGAAUAUUGCGCAAUGGGGGAAACUCUGAUGCAGUGACGCCGCGUGAAGGAAGAAGUAUUUCGGUAUGUAAACUGCUAUCAGCAGGGAAGAAAAUGACGAUUCCUGACUAAAUAACCCCCGCUAACUUCGUUCCCGCCGCCGCGGUAAAACGUAGGGGACAAGCGUUAUCCGGAUUUAAUUGGUGGAAAGGGGGCGUAGGCGGUGAAGCAAGUGAGAAGUGAAAGCCCUGGGCUUAACUGAGGGACUGCUAAUGAAACUAUUGAACUAGAUUGCAGGAGAGGAAAGUGGAAUUCCUAGUGUAGCGGUGAAAUGCGUAGAUAUUAGGAGGAACACCAGUGGCGAAGGCGACUUACUGGACUGUAAAUGACGUUGAGGCACGAAAGCGUGGGGAGCAAACAGGAUUAGAUACCCUAGUAGUC
This 440-nucleotide ribosomal RNA is filed under the name uncultured bacterium. Its description in RNAcentral is "partial 16S ribosomal RNA". It matches the Rfam family "Bacterial small subunit ribosomal RNA", at positions 338 to 795 of the family's 1533-position model. The record is from RNAcentral.